RNAcentral lists this ribosomal RNA (253 nucleotides) under uncultured bacterium. RNAcentral's name for it is "partial 16S ribosomal RNA". It matches the Rfam family "Bacterial small subunit ribosomal RNA", at positions 524 to 776 of the family's 1533-position model. The record is from RNAcentral.
UACGAAGGGGGCUAGCGUUGCUCGGAAUCACUGGGCGUAAAGCGCACGUAGGCGGCUUCUUAAGUCAGGGGUGAAAUCCUGGGGCUCAACCCCAGAACUGCCCUUGAUACUGAGGAGCUUGAGUCCGGGAGAGGUGAGUGGAACUCCGAGUGUAGAGGUGAAAUUCGUAGAUAUUCGGAAGAACACCAGUGGCGAAGGCGGCUCACUGGCCCGGUACUGACGCUGAGGUGCGAAAGCGUGGGGAGCAAACAGG